Molecule: ribosomal RNA, 521 nt
Filed under: uncultured Glomeraceae
Lineage: Eukaryota; Fungi; Glomeromycota; Glomeromycetes; Glomerales; Glomeraceae
Description: SSU rRNA
Rfam family: Eukaryotic small subunit ribosomal RNA
Source: RNAcentral
AGCAGCCGCGGUAAUUCCAGCUCCAAUAGCGUAUAUUAAAGUUGUUGCAGUUAAAAAGCUCGUAGUUGAAUUUCGGGGUCAAUACGUCGGUCGUGCCUCGGUACGCACUAACGUUAUUGAUUCCUCCCUUCUGACGAACCGUGAUGUCAUUAAUUUGGUGUUGCGGGGAAUCAGGACUGUUACCUUGAAAAAAUUAGAGUGUUUAAAGCAGGCAAUCACUCGAAUACAUUAGCAUGGAAUAAUGAAAUAGGACGUUCGAACCUAUUUUGUUGGUUUCUAGGAUCGACGUAAUGAUUAAUAGGGAUAGUUGGGGGCAUUAGUAUUCAAUUGUCAGAGGUGAAAUUCUUGGAUUUAUUGAAGACUAACUACUGCGAAAGCAUUUGCCAAGGAUGUUUUCAUUAAUCAAGAACGAAAGUUAGGGGAUCGAAGACGAUCAGAUACCGUUGUAGUCUUAACCAUAAACUAUGCCGACUAGGGAUCGGAUGAUGUUAAUUUUUUAAUGACUCAUUCGGCGUCUUACG